Molecule: small nuclear RNA, 107 nt
Filed under: Lynx canadensis (Canada lynx)
Lineage: Eukaryota; Metazoa; Chordata; Mammalia; Carnivora; Felidae
Also listed under: 1 other name
Source: RNAcentral
GUGCUCACUUUGGCAGCACAUAUACUAAAACUGGAACGAUACAGAGAAGAUUAGCACAGCCCCUGUGCACGGAUGACAUGCAAAUUUGUGCAGUGUUCCAUAUUUUU